Molecule: ribosomal RNA, 626 nt
Filed under: uncultured Verrucomicrobiota bacterium
Lineage: Bacteria; Pseudomonadati; Verrucomicrobiota
Description: bacterial SSU rRNA
Rfam family: Bacterial small subunit ribosomal RNA
Source: RNAcentral
UAGCAAUACAUUGUAAACGGAGCGGCGCAAGGGUGCGUAACACGUGGGUAAUUUACCAUAAAGUUGGGGAUAACUCGCUGAAAGGCGAGCUAAUACCGGAUGUGAUAAUUUGGCGGCAUCGCUGGAUUAUUAAAGUUGGGGAUCGUAAGACCUGACGCUUUAUGAUAAGCCCGCGGCCUAUCAGCUAGUUGGUGAGGUAACGGCUCACCAAGGCUAAGACGGGUAGCUGGUCUGAGAGGACGACCAGCCACACUGGAACUGAGAUACGGUCCAGACACCUACGGGUGGCAGCAGUCGAGAAUUUUUCACAAUGGGGGAAACCCUGAUGGAGCGACGCCGCGUGGGGGAUGAAUGGCUUCGGCCCGUAAACCCCUGUCAUCUGGGAACAAUGUGCACUGUUUAAGAGAUGGUGUAUUGAUAGUACCGGAAGAGGAAGGGACGGCUAACUCUGUGCCAGCAGCCGCGGUAAUACAGAGGUCCCAAGCGUUGUUCGGAUUCACUGGGCGUAAAGGGUGCGUAGGUGGUCAGGUAAGUCCGAUGUGAAAUCUCCAGGCUCAACCUGGAAAUGGCAUUGGAUACUAUUUGGCUUGAGGAGUGGAGGGGGGACUGGAAUUCUCGGUGUAGCA